AACGAACGCUGGCGGCAUGCCUAACACAUGCAAGUCGAACGAAGGCUUCGGCCUUAGUGGCGCACGGGUGCGUAACGCGUGGGAACCUGCCCCUCGGUUCGGAAUAACAGUUAGAAAUGACUGCUAAUACCGGAUGAUGACUUCGGUCCAAAGAUUUAUCGCCGAGGGAUGGGCCCGCGUAGGAUUAGCUAGUUGGUGGGGUAAAGGCCUACCAAGGCGACGAUCCUUAGCUGGUCUGAGAGGAUGAUCAGCCACACUGGGACUGAGACACGGCCCAGACUCCUACGGGAGGCAGCAGUGGGGAAUAUUGGACAAUGGGCGAAAGCCUGAUCCAGCAAUGCCGCGUGAGUGAUGAAGGCCUUAGGGUUGUAAAGCUCUUUUACCAGGGAUGAUAAUGACAGUACCUGGAGAAUAAGCUCCGGCUAACUCCGUGCCAGCAGCCG
This 443-nucleotide ribosomal RNA is filed under the name uncultured bacterium. RNAcentral describes it as "bacterial SSU rRNA". It matches the Rfam family "Bacterial small subunit ribosomal RNA", at positions 29 to 517 of the family's 1533-position model. The record is from RNAcentral.